This is a small nuclear RNA of Mesocricetus auratus (golden hamster), 106 nucleotides long. NCBI's taxonomy places the organism in Eukaryota, Metazoa, Chordata, Mammalia, Rodentia, Cricetidae. The record is from Ensembl.
GUGCUCACUUCAGCAGCACAUACACUAAAAUUGGAAUGAUGCAUAGAAGAUUGGCAUGGCCCCUGCAAAGGAUGGCAAGUAAAUUCAUGAAGCACUUCAUACUUAC